This 74-nucleotide transfer RNA is filed under the name Natronomonas gomsonensis. RNAcentral's name for it is "tRNA-Pro". It matches the Rfam family "tRNA". Rfam says of the family: Transfer RNA (tRNA) molecules are approximately 80 nucleotides in length. Their secondary structure includes four short double-helical elements and three loops (D, anti-codon, and T loops). Lineage: Archaea; Methanobacteriati; Methanobacteriota; Halobacteria; Halobacteriales; Natronomonadaceae. The record is from RNAcentral. RNAcentral also lists the same sequence under 3 other names.
GGGAUCGUGGGUUAGCUUGGCUAUACUCGCAGCCUUGGGUGCUGUGGACCCCGGUUCGAAUCCGGGCGAUCCCA